This 223-nucleotide ribosomal RNA is filed under the name uncultured bacterium. RNAcentral's name for it is "partial 16S ribosomal RNA". It matches the Rfam family "Bacterial small subunit ribosomal RNA", at positions 100 to 334 of the family's 1533-position model. The record is from RNAcentral.
CGGCACGGGUGAGUAACACGUGAAUUAUCUACCUCCCGAGUGGGGAAUAACUGAGAGAAAUCUUAGCUAAUACCGCAUAACACUUACGAGUCAAAGCAGCAAUGCGCUUGGAGAGGAGUUCGCGGCCGAUUAGUUAGUUGGCGGGGUAAUGGCCCACCAAGACGAUGAUCGGUAUCCGGCCUGAGAGGGCGCACGGACACACUGGAACUGAAACACGGUCCAG